AAGCAUGCAAGUCGAGCGGUAAGAUGGAAGCUUGCUUCUAUCCUAGAGCGGCGGACUGGUGAGUAACGGCGUGGGUGACGACCCUUGUGACGGGGACAGCUCCUAGAAAUAGGAGAUAAUACCGGAUACGCUGAGUGUUGUCAGAGGACAUUCAGGAAAGGAACUUUGUCCGCACGAGGAGCGGCCCGCGUACUAUAGCUAGUUGGUGAGGUAACCGGCCCACCAAGGCAACGAUAGUUACCCGGCCUAAGAGGGUGAUCGGGCACAGUUGGACUGAGAUACCGGCCCAGACUCCUACGGGAGGCAGCAGCUAAGAAUAUUCCGCAAUGGACGAAAGUCUGACGGAGCGACGCCGCGUGGAUGAUGAAGGCCGGAAGGGUUUAGUAAAAUCCUUUUAUGACUGAGGAAUAAGCAGUGUGAGAGAAACGCAUUGUGGUGACUGUAGGUCAUGAAUAAGCAACGGCUAAUUACGUGCCAGCAGCCGC
RNAcentral lists this ribosomal RNA (485 nucleotides) under uncultured bacterium. RNAcentral describes it as "bacterial SSU rRNA". It matches the Rfam family "Bacterial small subunit ribosomal RNA", at positions 51 to 518 of the family's 1533-position model. The record is from RNAcentral.